RNAcentral lists this ribosomal RNA (316 nucleotides) under Clostridioides difficile. RNAcentral's name for it is "bacterial LSU rRNA". It matches the Rfam family "Bacterial large subunit ribosomal RNA", at positions 1538 to 1866 of the family's 2925-position model. Lineage: Bacteria; Bacillati; Bacillota; Clostridia; Peptostreptococcales; Peptostreptococcaceae. The record is from RNAcentral.
AAAUCCGCUUUGAUAAUGCUGGGAUGUGAUGGGGAGCGAAAUUUAGUAGCGAAGUAGCUGAUUUCACACUGUCAAGAAAAGUCUCUAUCGAGGUUAAAGGUACCCGUACCGCAAACCGACACAGGUGGGUGAGGAGAGUAUCCUAAGGCCAGCGAGAGAACUGUUGUUAAGGAACUCGGCAAAAGGACCCCGUAACUUAGGGAUAAGGGGUGCCACCAUCAGGUGGCCGCAGAGAAUAGGCCCAAGCGACUGUUUACCAAAAACAUAGGUUUCUGCUAAGUCGCAAGACGAUGUAUAGGAGCUGACGCCUGCCCGG